AUGCCCCUCUAUACUGGGGAACAUCUCUGAAGUUUGUAGCCUAUGCGUUUAGCCCUGAGUAAAAACUGUAUGCCACAUUCACAGCAGAUAACCUAGAGAGGAGCAUGAUAACCACAUCCACAGGAUGAACCAUCACACCUCCAGCUACAAUACUAAGGGGAGAAAGAGGCAGUUUCAAGCAGGAUCUGGGAAUUUGGACUGAUGGCUGUGGCCUUUUCGGGUCUCAGCUUUCCAGAGAACGUGCCAGGUGCCCCUCUGUCUCUGGUCUCUUUCUCAGGCCAUAGGCCCUGUCCAGCAUACUCACAAUGUUGAUCAUCCAGCGUGGUAGCCAUCGGUCCCCUGGGCAAAAUCUUGGACAAAGCACAGUCUCUGAACUCUUCGUAUAUUGGGGGUGAUUGUGAGUCACCUGAUGUUGAGAGUGACAAGCAAAACCCUCAGGUCCCUCCCCCUCAAGAAGUAUUCCUA
Molecule: long non-coding RNA, 465 nt
Filed under: Bos taurus (domestic cattle)
Lineage: Eukaryota; Metazoa; Chordata; Mammalia; Artiodactyla; Bovidae
Description: long non-coding RNA NONBTAT012078
Source: RNAcentral